Non-coding RNA from Marasmius oreades (fairy-ring Marasmius), 85 nucleotides. The record is from the annotation of a RefSeq genome assembly. NCBI's taxonomy places the organism in Eukaryota, Fungi, Basidiomycota, Agaricomycetes, Agaricales, Marasmiaceae.
GGGCACUUGGCACAGUUGGUAGCGCGCACGCUUCGCAUUCUAAAAUCUCUGCGUGAGGUCGUGGGUUCAAUUCCCACAGUGUCCA